Long non-coding RNA from Anguilla rostrata (American eel), 441 nucleotides. RefSeq lists it as uncharacterized. NCBI's taxonomy places the organism in Eukaryota, Metazoa, Chordata, Actinopteri, Anguilliformes, Anguillidae. The transcript is spliced from 3 exons. The record is from RefSeq and is a predicted model, not a curated record.
UGGAUGUAUCAUAUAUAUUUAUGUAUGUAAGUAAGUGACCAAGUAUGUAAGUAAAGAAGGAAGGAAGGAUGCAAGUGGGUGCUGGACGGAUACAGUACAGUAAGUAGAAGUAAGUUAGUAAGUAAGAAAGGAAGAAAGUGGGUGGUGACAGAGUACAGUAAUAAGUGAGUAAAUUAGUAAAACUUUAUUGGUAUAGCACCUCGUUAGAGUGGAAUAACAAAGUGCUUCACAAGCAAUAAAUGAAAACAAUAUAAUCUUAAAAACAAACAGUAACAGGCACACGUGUCAACAGUAAGCACAGGUCUUAUGUACAAAGGGAGGGAGUUCCAGAGUUUGGGAGCAACGGUUUUGAAUGUUCAAUCAAAUUCAGUUUGACCUAGGGACAUCCAGCAAUCCUAGGUCAGAGGACCCAAGAGACAUACUUACUGGUGGUGUAAAGAU